This 243-nucleotide unclassified non-coding RNA is filed under the name Hevea brasiliensis (rubber tree). Lineage: Eukaryota; Viridiplantae; Streptophyta; Magnoliopsida; Malpighiales; Euphorbiaceae. The record is from RNAcentral.
GGGGAUUUCUCCAAUUGUUCCUUGCUUGAUCCAGUAAUGUAAAAGAUAUCCUUUUGUCCUGAUUUCAUUCUUGAGAUGUACUGAUCCAGUGAAGUCAAUUUUCCGUCCGACUUGGUGCUCUCGAAUCGGAGCAGUUUUGCUAGACGGUUCCUGUUAGUUGCAUCCUCAAUGAUACCAAGUUUAAUUGAUUUACCAAACUCAUUCCAGAAUCGAGUAUACUGGCCUUUCUUCUCAUCAUCGUCA